UAGGGAAUCUUCGGCAAUGGACGAAAGUCUGACCGAGCAACGCCGCGUGAGUGAAGAAGGUUUUCGGAUCGUAAAACUCUGUUGUUAGAGAAGAACAAGGACGUUAGUAACUGAACGUCCCCUGACGGUAUCUAACCAGAAAGCCACGGCUAACUACGUGCCAGCAGCCGCGGUAAUACGUAGGUGGCAAGCGUUGUCCGGAUUUAUUGGGCGUAAAGCGAGCGCAGGCGGUUUCUUAAGUCUGAUGUGAAAGCCCCCGGCUCAACCGGGGAGGGUGAUUGGAAACUGGGAGACUUGAGUGCAGAAGAGGAGAGUGGAAUUCCAUGUGUAGCGGUGAAAUGCGUAGAUAUAGGGAGGAACACCAGUGGCGGAGGCGGCUCUCUGGUCUGUAACAGACGCUGAGGCUCGAAAGCGUGGGGAGCAAACAGG
RNAcentral lists this ribosomal RNA (429 nucleotides) under Gemmatimonadota bacterium. RNAcentral describes it as "Gemmatimonadetes bacterium partial 16S ribosomal RNA". It matches the Rfam family "Bacterial small subunit ribosomal RNA", at positions 355 to 776 of the family's 1533-position model. Lineage: Bacteria; Pseudomonadati; Gemmatimonadota. The record is from RNAcentral.